AUGCCCUACAUUUUAGUGACGCCGUUGUCAAUCCACCUACUGCCUGGCACCACCGACCACUUGUCCAUAGCCGCCACCCACGCGAAGCUCCUGAAGAUCGGCAAUGCCUCCGCUGUCUCUUCUUGCUACCACAUCAUCGCUGCUUACUGCCGAUGCGGUGCAACAGCCCGUGCCCAUUGCCUGUUUGACAGAAUGGACGUUGUCUCCUGGAUGGCCCUCGUAUCCGGGUACUCUAGCACUGGCCAACCCUGCCUGGCUGUUUCCCUCCCCCGUGACAUGUCUCACAGCGGCGUGCCACCGAAUGCCUUCAACUUCUCGACUGCCAUCAGCAGGUGUGCAUGCCUUGCUGAUGCUGGACUUGGGUGGAAAGUGCAUGCCCGUGCUGAGGUCGAGGACUAUGCAUCUGACGCCAUCGCCACCGCGCUCAUUGACAUGUAUGGCAAGACCGGAGAUGUGGAGGGUGCACGUGCAUUGUUUGAUGGAAUGGCUGCUCCAGCGAAGAAUAUGGUGUCCUGGGGCUCGGUACUGUUUGUAUACGUACAGAAUGCACUUGGGCGCGAGGUCAUCCAACUUUUUGUCGAGUUCAGAACCAAAAGCAACUCCAUGGCGCCCAACCACUUGAUGUUGUCAAGCGUUGUGAAUGCAUGUGCAGAGGCGGGCUGGCUUGGAGCUGGCAAGUCUGUGCAUGGAACAGUCCUUUGGUUUGGGCAUGGAUGCAAUGGCGUGAUUGUUGAGGAUUUGGUUGACAUGUAUUCCAAGUAUGGAUUCUACAAGUACUCAGGAAAGUUGUUCAACAGGAUUAAGCAGCCGUCGGUUUUCUGCUAUCCCUCCAUCAUCGUAGCAGCAGCAAAGUACGGUUUUGGGAGGUGCGUACUCACUUUUUUCAAUGAGAUGAUCGAUCGAGUUGUGCAACCAAACAGUGUUACACUGCUUGGCGUCAUGCACGUUUGCAGCCAUUCAGAUCUUGUUGACACCGGCCUCCAUCUCCUCUACUCCAUGCAGAGCAAAUAUGGCGUCAGUCCAUGAGCCAGCCAGUACAUAUGUGCAGUUGACAUGCUCAGCCGAGCAGGACGGCUUGAGGAGGCAUUUGAGCUGGCCAACGAGGCGCAGGUCGAACAUCGUGACGCCCUCAUGCUGUAGAGCUCAUUGAUGUCAGCUUGCCGGACACACAAGCACUUAGAUCUAGCCGCCAGGGCGGGCCACAGAGUGUCAUAGUUCAACCGGGAUGUAGCAGGUGCACCGGUAGUGGUGUCAAAUGCAUACAUUUCAGCCGGCCAGGCUGACAAUGCUUUUGCUGAAUGGUCGAACAUGGGGCGACAAGGCAUACCCUGUGUGCAGUUGGAUUGA
Molecule: ribosomal RNA, 1347 nt
Filed under: Triticum aestivum (bread wheat)
Lineage: Eukaryota; Viridiplantae; Streptophyta; Magnoliopsida; Poales; Poaceae
Description: partial small subunit ribosomal RNA
Source: RNAcentral